GUCGGCCUCGGAGCUGGGCUUCCUGGCGUUGGGGUCGGAGACUGUGUUGUCUUUGCGGUUUUAGUUAGCGAGCAGUUAGGGUGGAGUCGGCGUCGUGGAUUCCGCUCUCAAACCAGCAAGGGGGAUUUGAAUUCGAAAACACUGAGCUUUCCGAGUCGAAAGGUUCCAGGUUUAUUCCGACCUACGGAAGCCCAGGAGGACUAGGAUUACCGCUGCCACGAGGCGCUGUUGGGCACCAUGCUAGCGGUAGAGGUAAAGAUGAGUAAGACGUUGGCCUUGCACGUGAGGAGCUCCUGGUCCAAAGACGACCACAGAGGUAUACUACAAGAAUUGAGAGAGCUAAGGUCACCUCCAGCCUCCGUGGGAUAAAUGCUCUGCUGGAAUUCCCGAGCAGCACAGCCAGCCCCAGUUCUAACUUGGGAACCUGGGGUGAUGAAUGGCAAGAAUGACAGAAAUGAAGACGGCUGCAGCACUAAGGACACCUUUUAACUGUGUCACAUUUGCCUAACUUUGCCUUAAAUGUAUCAUGGUAACUGACAGUUUUGACUGAAAAAUAAAGAUCA
Molecule: long non-coding RNA, 563 nt
Organism: Saimiri boliviensis boliviensis (Bolivian squirrel monkey)
Lineage: Eukaryota; Metazoa; Chordata; Mammalia; Primates; Cebidae
Source: RefSeq, a predicted model, not a curated record